AGUGGCGGACGGGUGGAGUAAUGUCUGGGAAACUGCCUGAUGGAGGGGGGAGUAACUACUGGAAACGGUAGCUAAUACCGCAUAACGUCGCAAGACCAAAGAGGGGGGACCGUUCGGGGCCUCUUGCCAUCGGAUGUGCCCAGAUGGGAUUAGCUAGUAGGUGGGGUAACGGGCUCACCUAGGCGACGAUCCCUAGCUGGUCUGAGAGGAUGACCAGCCACACUGGAACUGAGACACGGCCCAGACUCCUACGGGAGGCAGCAUG
RNAcentral lists this ribosomal RNA (265 nucleotides) under uncultured bacterium. RNAcentral describes it as "partial 16S ribosomal RNA". It matches the Rfam family "Bacterial small subunit ribosomal RNA", at positions 94 to 353 of the family's 1533-position model. The record is from RNAcentral.